Monomorium pharaonis (pharaoh ant) is the source of this 3170-nucleotide long non-coding RNA. RefSeq lists it as uncharacterized. Lineage: Eukaryota; Metazoa; Arthropoda; Insecta; Hymenoptera; Formicidae. The transcript has 3 exons. The record is from RefSeq and is a predicted model, not a curated record.
CUACAUAUCAUAAUGUUAAAGAAAUGUAUGUUAGAAGAAAAAUAUGUUAAAGAAAUUCUUGGAAUUUGAUUUAUCGCGGCACAACGACAUAGGGGAAAACAGCCUUAGAGCAAAGCGACAUGAUAUGUCUCGCGAAAGACCAACAAAACCGUUGCGCGGCCAUCUUGGUUACGCUCGAGCAAGAUUCACUCGAGUAGAAUAGUGACGGAGUUAAGAGGCGCGACGAUCUUGAAACAGCUUAACUGGCGUCUCGUCGAGUAGAUUAUUCGACAACAGUUUCUUGUUAAGUUGAAUUUUACGGUCAAACUGCAAACGGCCUGUGACGCAACAAAGAAAAUCGUUGCGCUGUUAACGAGUUCCGGUGUACUUUCGAUACAUUUAUUUUUCGUUGCUCAUCCGCGACGCUCAAGGUGGUUGAGAUUAACAUUUAAUUCCGGUCGCCUACGGUUACAAGAUAUUGUCCAAGUAUUUCUUGUUGCGCUAAAAUAUAUUUUUUGAUAUUGAAAUUUCUUCCAGUAACGAUUUUGAUCUGAGCAAUUAGCGUCAUAAUCUGCUUGAGAGCAAAAAAGAAGAAAAGAAGUGUAUGUAUUGUUGCGAUGGCAUGAUAUAUUAACACUUUCUGUACGGCGCUAGUUUUAGAUAACUUGUUCAUUACGCCGUGUGAGUCACCAAUGAUCUAUUUCUAGUUGUGUUCAUUGUACUUUGUUAAAUACAAUAUAAUUAUUAAAAAUUAUAAAAAUAAAAAAAGCUUGCUAACAUUGCAUCGUAUAUCAUAAUUAUGACAUUAGAAAUUGUUUUAUAAUCACGUUACUUUUUAUAGCUAAAAUAUCAAAUAGCCUGAACGGAAAGUUCAGCAUGGGUUCCCAGGGAUUCACGAGGCAUGAAAUUCAUCAUUUUCAAGUCUUCGAGUGACGUUAAUUAUUCCGGGACUCUUUCGGGAAUCGGCGUAAAAAUUCCCUCGAAGAGAUAAUUUAGCGGAUUUAUUUUGACGCGCGCAAAUUCGGCAUCCGCGGUAUGCUUAACGGGUUUAGGUAAUGUAUUUAUUACAAUUGCGAAUUGCAGCGAUCCUGUCGGACGAGAGAGCUGAUUCUAGCGCGAGCGUAAAUCACGCGACGCAUGUUUGUUCGGUAUGCCGACAACGUGUCCACGCGACGAUACCGCUAUCGCGUAAAGAAAGAUCGAAAUGGGAUAACGAUGUGUGCAAUGCAUCACUCGAAUUCUUCCCUGUGUUUAUGACAUAACGUGAUGUUCCCAACACUUCUUAUUAUUGUGUGGAUAACUAGUCUCUCGAGAUAUUUUGACGUCUUUAUCGGUGCGCGGGAGCAAAAAAGAAAAAAAAAAUCAAAUCGUUACACCGUCUUGACGUGCUUUUGACGGUACUCUUACAUUACAUGUUUUUAUAAGUGACACCACAUGCCGGCGGCAGUCUUUUGUGCCACCACUGGGAGUAGUUGAAAACGUAAUUCUGUUACCCGAGAGUUUUGUUUCAUUAAACGCUUUAAUAUCUUUGAUACUAAUCUUAAAAUCAUUCGCGAAUAAACUAUAAUAUUCUUAUGUAAUUACUUAUUGUAUUAAAAUAAUUAUUGACUUUCUUCUGAUUAUUAAUAAGAAUGAAACUAGUAAUUAUUAUAAAUACUAAUAUCCUUUAGAAUUACGUUAGUAUCAAAAGGUGAAUACUAAAUUUUUAUUUAACAAAAAUUAAUUUAAAAACUUCUUUAGUGCGUAGCAAACCAUAGAUAAUAGCAAAUCAUUAAUUUUAUUUGCAAAUUAUUUAAUUUUGUUUUAAAAUAAAUAUUGGAAUAAUUGAUUAAUUAUAUUAACAAAUAAAUUAUAAAAUAAAUAAUACAGUUCUUUUCGAAAUUAUAUGAUUUUAAUUUUUUUUUAAACAUGGAAAUUAUCAUCAAAAUUAAUUCAUUACUUUGAUAUAAAAUGUAAAGAACAGUAUAUUCAAUGAAUAUAUCUUAUAGUGUUAAAUAAUUUUUGCGGCAAUGAAUUGGUUGGUGUACACUCAGCCCUCGGUUCUAGUUGUUUUUGUCUUUUGCGGUGUACGCCGCCACCGCACUGUAUACACGUGGUUUAUUGUCAUUUCGAACGAUGAGAUUUCAGUGGUUAGGGAGCGUUAUGUGUCGUAUUGUCCAUCGAAAUGCGAUCACGAGAAGUACUAGAGAAUAAUAGGCGCGAAUUGUCAAUUAAUUAAUCCCACAAUUAAUGGCAAGCGUAUAGAGACGAUAUUUGGAUUUCGUGAGAUUCUCAUUGAGAUAUUUCAAAGCGUGAAUCAAGUGACAUUAAAACAUGUUUAAUUAAAUGAAUACCAUUUUACUUAAUAUUAUAUCUUAAUACAUAUCGAAUGCCGUUAUCAUAAAUUAAAUUUGCAGUUUAAAAUGACUCAUAAGAAUCUCUUCAUCGUUUAAUAAUUUGCAAGACAAUGUCGAAUAUAUCAUACUUAUUCGUAUAAUCUUCCCUCGUAUUAUUAAAGCGCGCGUUGCGAUUAACGUGAGAAUGUGCAAAGUGCCGCGCGAUUAUGAUAUCUCAGUCAUUAGUGUGUGAUCGUAAUCGACUAUAUUUUCGCGAGAUAAAAGAAAGUAAAAGAAUAAGAGAAAAGACAAAGAUCGGGCAUCAGAGCGCGUGAAACAUUUAUGAAAUAAAUAACGUAAUUUAUUAUUUAUUAUUUUAUUUGUAAAAUUGACAAUUAUUUAAUGCGCGAAAAAAAUAAUUUUCUGAAAUGUUGAUUUACUUGGAGCGUUCCUAUAAUUUGAAUAUAUUUAUGUUUUACAGAUCAACGUAGUUGCAAAGUCCACAACUCCUGCAAAUGCUGCACAUCGUACUGGGGAACUCUAGUUCGCGCUGGUAACAGUAUCCACCUCCGAGUUAACCGACGUUUUCGCCACUGUUCAUAUUUGCAAUCCAUACGAAUCGGAUACAGCGGCGUGGCUUUUCGCAGUGCUGCAACAUUGAUGGCGGUAAGUGGCACAAAUUAUACAAAGAAUUUCGUCAUACAGAAAGAUAAGACGUUUGAAGCAAAAAAAAAAAAGGUAUAGAGAAUAAAGGCAAAAAAGGUGUGAAAGACGGGAGGAUUCCGAAAGUAUAAGCCGUGUCACCCCGUUUGGCUGCUGGUAGGCGGAAUUUGCGUAAUCCCGCGUGCGCCUUUUCGCCGCGGCGCGCCGAAAAGG